GACGAACGCUGGCGGCGUGCUUAACACAUGCAAGUCGAGCGGAAAGGCCCUUCGGGGUACUCGAGCGGCGAACGGGUGAGUAACACGUGAGUAACCUGCCCCAGACUUUGGGAUAACCCUCGGAAACGGGGCUAAUACCGGAUACGACACAGCUUCGCAUGGGGUCUGUGUGGAAAGUUUUUCGGUUUGGGAUGGGCUCGCGGCCUAUCAGCUUGUUGGUGGGGUGAUGGCCUACCAAGGCGACGACGGGUAGCCGGCCUGAGAGGGCGACCGGCCACACUGGGACUGAGACACGGCCCAGACUCCUACGGGAGGCAGCAGUGGGGAAUAUUGCACAAUGGGCGGAAGCCUGAUGCAGCGACGCCGCGUGAGGGAUGACGGCCUUCGGGUUGUAAACCUCUUUCAGCAGGGACGAAGCGUAAGUGACGGUACCUGCAGAAGAAGCGCCGGCCAACUACGUG
RNAcentral lists this ribosomal RNA (461 nucleotides) under uncultured bacterium. RNAcentral describes it as "partial 16S ribosomal RNA". It matches the Rfam family "Bacterial small subunit ribosomal RNA", at positions 28 to 507 of the family's 1533-position model. The record is from RNAcentral.